CCUUGAUGCACACAUAAGUGUCUAGUAAGCAGAGGAGGCAAUGGGAAUUCAACCUUCGCGGUGCAGCUUUUCUCCUCCCGAUGGAGCAGUGAAAGACAAAGCUGAUAUCAUGGAAGCUAUGGAAAUAGUUCAAUGUGAAGUUCUUCUAGAGUAUCAUAAUUAUACCACCGGUUAUAUUAGUUAAGACAAUGGGGAAGCAUGAGAUUGAUACGUAGUGCGGUUGAGAAACUGAGAGCAUUCCUAUCCAUAGAAGAAUGGAGACUAGAGAAACAAAUCGCUUUGGGGAUAACUUUGUAAAUGUUCUCUGUAAAACCCUUCCUUUAUCAAUGAACUAGACAAUCAUUUUUUUCUUCUU
This 355-nucleotide long non-coding RNA is filed under the name Oryza brachyantha (malo sina). RNAcentral describes it as "long non-coding RNA (OBRA_LNC001967)". The record is from RNAcentral. Lineage: Eukaryota; Viridiplantae; Streptophyta; Magnoliopsida; Poales; Poaceae.